GAUGAAGAACGCAGCGAAAUGCGAUACGUAAUGUGAAUUGCAGAAUUCAGUGAAUCAUCGAGUCUUUGAACGCACAUUGCGCCCCCUGGUAUUCCGGGGGGCAUGCCUGUCCGAGCGUCAUUGCUGCCCUCAAGCACGGCUUGUGUGUUGGGCCUCCGUCCUCCUCCCGGGGGACGGGCCCGAAAGGCAGCGGCGGCACCGCGUCCGGUCCCCGAGCGUAUGGGGCUUCGUCACCCGCUCUUGUAGGCCCGGCCGGCGCUUGCCGACACAUCAAUCUUUUUUCCAGGUUGACCUCGGAUCAGGUAGGGAUGCCCGCUGAACUUAAGCAUAUCAAUAAGCGGAGGA
Molecule: unclassified non-coding RNA, 345 nt
Filed under: soil metagenome
Description: partial contains 5.8S ribosomal RNA, internal transcribed spacer 2, and large subunit ribosomal RNA
Rfam family: 5.8S ribosomal RNA (bases 1-120)
Source: RNAcentral